CAUGCCGUAAACGUUGGGCGCUAGAUGUGGGGACCAUUCCACGGUUUCCGUGUCGUAGCUAACGCAUUAAGCGCCCCGCCUGGGGAGUACGGCCGCAAGGCUAAAACUCAAAGGAAUUGACGGGGGCCCGCACAAGCGGCGGAGCAUGCGGAUUAAUUCGAUGCAACGCGAAGAACCUUACCAAGGCUUGACAUAUACCGGAAACGGCCAGAGAUGGUCGCCCCCUUUGGGUCGGUAUACAGGUGG
Molecule: ribosomal RNA, 246 nt
Filed under: uncultured Pseudoclavibacter sp.
Lineage: Bacteria; Bacillati; Actinomycetota; Actinomycetes; Micrococcales; Microbacteriaceae
Description: partial 16S ribosomal RNA
Rfam family: Bacterial small subunit ribosomal RNA
Source: RNAcentral